Molecule: ribosomal RNA, 630 nt
Filed under: uncultured bacterium
Lineage: Bacteria
Description: bacterial SSU rRNA
Rfam family: Bacterial small subunit ribosomal RNA
Source: RNAcentral
ACGCUGGCGGCAUGCCUUACACAUGCAAGUCGAACGGCAGCACGGAGCUUGCUCUGGUGGCGAGUGGCGAACGGGUGAGUAAUAUAUCGGAACGUACCCUAGAGUGGGGGAUAACGUAGCGAAAGUCACGCUAAUACCGCAUACGAUCUAAGGAUGAAAGUGGGGGAUCGCAAGACCUCAUGCUCGUGGAGCGGCCGAUAUCUGAUUAGCUAGUUGGUAGGGUAAGAGCCUACCAAGGCAUCGAUCAGUAGCUGGUCUGAGAGGACGACCAGCCACACUGGAACUGAGACACGGUCCAGACUCCUACGGGAGGCAGCAGUGGGGAAUUUUGGACAAUGGGCGAAAGCCUGAUCCAGCAAUGCCGCGUGAGUGAAGAAGGCCUCCGGGUUGUAAAGCUCUUUUGUCAGGGAAGAAACGGUGAGAGCUAAUAUCUUUUGCUAAUGACGGUACCUGAAGAAUAAGCACCGGCUAACUACGUGCCAGCAGCCGCGGUAAUACGUAGGGGUGCAAGCGUUAAUCGGAAUUACUGGGCGUAAGCGUGCGCAGGCGGUUUUGUAAGUCUGAUGUGAAAUCCCCGGGCUCAACCUGGAAUUGCAUUGGAGACUGCAGGCUAGAUCUGGCAGAGGGGGG